Molecule: ribosomal RNA, 460 nt
Filed under: uncultured bacterium
Lineage: Bacteria
Description: partial 16S ribosomal RNA
Rfam family: Bacterial small subunit ribosomal RNA
Source: RNAcentral
CCUACGGGUGGCAGCAGUGAGGAAUAUUGGUCAAUGGGCGCGAGCCUGAACCAGCCAAGUAGCGUGAAGGAUGACUGCCCUACGGGUUGUAAACUUCUUUUAUAAGGGAAUAAAGUGAGGCACGUGUGCCCUUUUGUAUGUACCUUAUGAAUAAGGAUCGGCUAACUCCGUGCCAGCAGCCGCGGUAAUACGGAGGAUCCGAGCGUUAUCCGGAUUUAUUGGGUUUAAAGGGAGCGUAGGUGGUUUGUUAAGUCAGUUGGGAAAGUUUGCGGCUCAACCGUAAAAUUGCAGUUGAUACUGGCAGUCUUGAGUACAGUAGAGGUAGGCGGAAUUCGUGGUGUAGCGGUGAAAUGCUUAGAUAUCACGAAGAACUCCGAUUGCGAAGGCAGCUUACUAGACUGCCACUGACAUUGAUGCUCGAAAGUGUGGGUAUCAAACAGGAUUAGAUACCCUAGUAGUC